AUUGAACGCUGGCGGCAUGCCUUACACAUGCAAGUCGAACGGCAGCGACGGGGGCUUGCUCCUGGUGGCGAGUGGCGAACGGGUGAGUAAUACAUCGGAACGUACCUGAAGUGGGGGAUAACGUAGCGAAAGUUACGCUAAUACCGCAUAUUCUGUGAGCAGGAAAGAGGGGGGAUCGCAAGACCUCUUGCUUCAGGAGCGGCCGAUGUCGGAUUAGCUAGUUGGUGAGGUAAAGGCUCACCAAGGCGACGAUCCGUAGCGGGUCUGAGAGGAUGAUCCGCCACACUGGGACUGAGACACGGCCCAGACUCCUACGGGAGGCAGCAGUGGGGAAUAUUGGUCAAUGGGCGCGAGCCUGAACCAGCCAAGUCGCGUGAAGGAAGACUGUCCUAUGGAUUGUAAACUUCUUUUGUACAGGAAUAAAGUGUUCUACGUGUAGGAUUUUGCAUGUACUGUACGAAUAAGGAUCGGCUAACUCCGUG
RNAcentral lists this ribosomal RNA (482 nucleotides) under uncultured bacterium. Its description in RNAcentral is "bacterial SSU rRNA". It matches the Rfam family "Bacterial small subunit ribosomal RNA", at positions 30 to 507 of the family's 1533-position model. The record is from RNAcentral.